AUAUUUUUUUAUGUGUGGACGGUGUAUAAAACAACAAAGCAAAAAAUGUCAAACUAACUCCCGUGCGCUGAAGUGAUUGCUCCCUCCAGCGCGUUUCUCCUUGGGAACCCCGGUUCCUCACGGAUUUCGUUUUUUCUUUCAAAUGUUGGAGUCCAAAGGGGGCAACCAGAGAUGGGAACAGCCAUAUUCAGCACUCAGCACACAAGGAUCGUUCCAGCUCACAGACAUUCCUGAACACGGGGAACUUUGCUUUUAGCCUCCAAAGCUGAAAAAAACAGACACGAUUAGCAUAAAUCAUCUUUAUGAAAGCUUUAAUUUUUAAAGUUACACCACAACAUCUUGAUUAUGGACAGUGUGUCUUAAGCAUGGUUCUGGGAUUGCAAUACAGUAUUAUUUUUCUUGAAAUGACGCUCAAUGCACUCAUAUUUUCGUCACACAUACACUAUGUUGUAGCAGCAGUUUCUCACACCAUAGUUGGACAUCAACAGCUGAUACUGUACCGAUGAACAAAACUCUGCAUCUUUUAAUGCAAACUUGUUCUGGCCUCUGCCGCUUGAUGAAUCACUCACAUCCAAAAAGGAGGUGCUCAUCUUAAGGCCUAAUUUCUAGAUGUCGACUGUGGUGUCCCUUUUGUUUUAAACAUUACCUUGUUUUUGUUUUUUAUUUCUCAAAAAGAAUGAGGUGAUGCGAGAAAAACUGAGGGUUUUACCUUUUUAUAAUCAUGCAAAAUCACUUUGACGACUAUGUUCUAUCACAUGGUGUUGGGUAUUAGAGCGGUGUUGAAGACAGUUGUGUAAGUGUAUGCUUGUGUGCGUGUGUGUGUUCAUAACUUCAGGUGAAGUGAUUUGCCUUUUCCUGCAGUGUCCCGUUUUGUCCAAGAAGGAAAACACGGAGCAACCAAGGGCUGUUUUAGCUUCAAAGAUAUAUCGUCCUAUCUUUCUGAGACAAAUCCUUGUGUCAACUGAAUAUGACACCAAAGGUUAAAGCCUGACUACGCAGCAAUAAAUGUUCUAUGUGGAUGCCCUGAGUAAAUGAUGUCAAUGUGAUUUCUAUCUCCUCAGAAUACCACAGUUUUCAUUGCCGUCUGUUUUUGAUGCUACUUGUCUGAACCUACAACCAAUCUGAGAGCACGUCUGCCCUCUCGGGAACCAAUCAGUAAAGAGAAAUUGGAAAACAUGAACAAUUGAGGUUAUUGAACUAAGGUCAGGCGGAACAACUGGUAACUUUUGAAAGAUAGCUGUAAAGGUGUGCACAGACUGUAGCAAAUUUUCUUGCUUUAUUCACACAAAUUUAACUGGUGGAGCGUUGAUAUGCUGCAAACAGCAAAUGCACCCACGGUCCAGAUGUUGGCUAUACAAACUUAACAAUGCACCGACUCCCUGCGUGCACAGUGUGCCUUUGUAGGUGAGUGCGUGCUACAUUUCUGAAUCAUAGCAAUUUACCAGGAUUGGAUGAUUUUCCUUUCUGUUGUUUCCCCCCUCUCUUGUCUCUGUAUGUGCACAGAGUGGAGUGCGAUAGCUCUGGAGAAGCACACAUUGUUUGCUAAAGUUUCUACCUUUUCAAAUAGCAAAGAGUUGUGCCACUCUACGUUGAAGUCGUAUGCAAUGACUCCACCUCCAAAAUGAGCUUCGCCUUCAGUCUGAACACACCUUAAGGAGUGUACAAUUCACAUUUGUACAUAUCUUUGUAUUUUGAUCUGCAUGUGUGCAUUACUGCCAGUAACCAUGAUUAUUAUCAUUAGAAUGCAUUUCAUAAAAUUGUACAAAGUUAAAGGGAAUGCCCCAGUGAUUUUUGACUGCUGCUAUGAAUCUACUAAAAACAUCAGUCAAAGCCACAAAAAAAUGUGUUUCUUCCUGCACACUAUUCACAAGAUAUUCAUCAAUUUUGAUUUAAUUCGCAUUUAAUAAGCAUUUGAAAUGAGAGAAGGAGAAAAAGAGGCAGGAAGUGUGCAGAGAUGACGUGGACGGCUGGACAGCGUGGAUCCGACGCUCGGCGCUGCAGGACUAAGAGACUUCUUCAGACAGCUCGUCAUCGGCGGCCUGGCCCAGCGGAGCCGGCGGUGCGAGAGGAGCACAUUAGGCAUGCACGCUGAACUCUGAGGUGUUGUUUACCUCACACCCAC
Gasterosteus aculeatus aculeatus (three-spined stickleback) is the source of this 2122-nucleotide long non-coding RNA. The record is from Ensembl. Lineage: Eukaryota; Metazoa; Chordata; Actinopteri; Perciformes; Gasterosteidae.